Cavia porcellus (domestic guinea pig) is the source of this 112-nucleotide small nuclear RNA. Lineage: Eukaryota; Metazoa; Chordata; Mammalia; Rodentia; Caviidae. The record is from Ensembl.
GUGCUCACUUCACCAGCACAUACACUAAAUCUGGACCCACACAAAGAACAUUAGCAUGAGCCCUGCACAAGGGUGACAAACAAAUUCAUGAAACAUUCUAUAACAUUUUUUU